This 9857-nucleotide long non-coding RNA is filed under the name Homo sapiens (human). RNAcentral describes it as "non-protein coding XIST:47". The stretch from base 7826 to 7951 matches the Rfam family "X-chromosome inactivation gene exon 4". The record is from RNAcentral. Lineage: Eukaryota; Metazoa; Chordata; Mammalia; Primates; Hominidae.
ACUGACUCAUUCUUAGAGCCCCUUCCCUUGGAAUAUUAAUGGAUACAAUAGUAAUUAUUCAUGGUUCUGCGUAACAGAGAAGACCCACUUAUGUGUAUGCCUUUAUCAUUGCUCCUAGAUAGUGUGAACUACCUACCACCUUGCAUUAAUAUGUAAAACACUAAUUGCCCAUAGUCCCACUCAUUAGUCUAGGAUGUCCUCUUUGCCAUUGCUGCUGAGUUCUGACUACCCAAGUUUCCUUCUCUUAAACAGUUGAUAUGCAUAAUUGCAUAUAUUCAUGGUUCUGUGCAAUAAAAAUGGAUUCUCACCCCAUCCCACCUUCUGUGGGAUGUUGCUAACGAGUGCAGAUUAUUCAAUAACAGCUCUUGAACAGUUAAUUUGCACAGUUGCAAUUGUCCAGAGUCCUGUCCAUUAGAAAGGGACUCUGUAUCCUAUUUGCACGCUACAAUGUGGGCUGAUCACCCAAGGACUCUUCUUGUGCAUUGAUGUUCAUAAUUGUAUUUGUCCACGAUCUUGUGCACUAACCCUUCCACUCCCUUUGUAUUCCAGCAGGGGACCCUUACUACUCAAGACCUCUGUACUAGGACAGUUUAUGUGCACAAUCCUAAUUGAUUAGAACUGAGUCUUUUAUAUCAAGGUCCCUGCAUCAUCUUUGCUUUACAUCAAGAGGGUGCUGGUUACCUAAUGCCCCUCCUCCAGAAAUUAUUGAUGUGCAAAAUGCAAUUUCCCUAUCUGCUGUUAGUCUGGGGUCUCAUCCCCUCAUAUUCCUUUUGUCUUACAGCAGGGGGUACUUGGGACUGUUAAUGCGCAUAAUUGCAAUUAUGGUCUUUUCCAUUAAAUUAAGAUCCCAACUGCUCACACCCUCUUAGCAUUACAGUAGAGGGUGCUAAUCACAAGGACAUUUCUUUUGUACUGUUAAUGUGCUACUUGCAUUUGUCCCUCUUCCUGUGCACUAAAGACCCCACUCACUUCCCUAGUGUUCAGCAGUGGAUGACCUCUAGUCAAGACCUUUGCACUAGGAUAGUUAAUGUGAACCAUGGCAACUGAUCACAACAAUGUCUUUCAGAUCAGAUCCAUUUUAUCCUCCUUGUUUUACAGCAAGGGAUAUUAAUUACCUAUGUUACCUUUCCCUGGGACUAUGAAUGUGCAAAAUUCCAAUGUUCAUGGUCUCUCCCUUUAAACCUAUAUUCUACCCCUUUUACAUUAUAGAAAGGGAUGCUGGAAACCCAGAGUCCUUCUCUUGGGACUCUUAAUGUGUAUUUCUAAUUAUCCAUGACUCUUAAUGUGCAUAUUUUCAAUUGCCUAAUUGAUUUCAAUUGUCUAAGACAUUUCAAAUGUCUAAUUGAUUAGAACUGAGUCUUUUAUAUCAAGCUAAUAUCUAGCUUUUAUAUCAAGCUAAUAUCUUGACUUCUCAGCAUCAUAGAAGGGGGUACUGAUUUCCUAAAGUCUUUCUUGAAUUUCUAUUAUGCAAAAUUGCCCUGAGGCCGGGUGUGGUGGCUCACACCUGUAAUCCCAGCACUUUGGGAGGCUGAGGUGGGAAGAUCCCUUACUGCCAGGAGUUUGAGACCAGCCUGGCCAACAUUAAAAAAAAAAAAAAGUAAGACAAUUGCCCUGGAAUCCCAUCCCCCUCACACCUCCUUGGCAAAGCAGCAGGAGUGCUAACUAGCUAGUGCUUCUUCUCUUAUACUGCUUAAAUGCGCAUAAUUAGCAGUAGUUGAUGUGCCCCUAUGUUAGAGUAGAAUCCCGCUUCCUUGCUCCAUUUGCAUUACUGCAGGAGCUUCUAACUAGCCUGAAUUCACUCUCUUGGACUGUUAAUGUGCAUACUUAUAUUUGCUGCUGUACUUUUUUACCAUGUAAGGACCCCACCCACUGUAUUUACAUCCCAGCUGGAAGUACCUACUACUUAAGACCCUUAGACUAGUAAAGUUAGCGUGCAUAAUCUUAGGUGUUAUAUACACAUUUUCAGUUGCAUACAGUUGUGCCUUUUAUCAGGACUCCUGUACUUAUCAAAGCAGAGAGUGCUAAUCAAUAUUAAGCCCUUCUCUUCGAACUGUAGAUGGCAUGUAAUUGCAGUUGUCAAUGGUCCUUCAAUUAGACUUGGGUUUCUGACCUAUCACACCCUCUUUGCUUUAUUGCAUGGGGUACUAUUCACUUAAGGCCCCUUUCUCAAACUGUUAAUGUGCCUAAUGACAAUUACAUCAGUAUCCUUCCUUUUGAAGGACAGCAUGGUUGGUGACACCUAAGGCCCCAUUUCUUGGCCUCCCAAUAUGUGUGAUUGUAUUUGUCGAGGUUGCUAUGCACUAGAGAAGGAAAGUGCUCCCCUCAUCCCCACUUUUCCCUUCCAGCAGGAAGUGCCCACCCCAUAAGACCCUUUUAUUUGGAGAGUCUAGGUGCACAAUUGUAAGUGACCACAAGCAUGCAUCUUGGACAUUUAUGUGCGUAAUCGCACACUGCUCAUUCCAUGUGAAUAAGGUCCUACUCUCCGACCCCUUUUGCAAUACAGAAGGGUUGCUGAUAACGCAGUCCCCUUUUCUUGGCAUGUUGUGUGUGAUUAUAAUCGUCUGGGAUCCUAUGCACUAGAAAAGGAGGGUCCUCUCCACAUACCUCAGUCUCACCUUUCCCUUCCAGCAGGGAGUGCCCACUCCAUAAGACUCUCACAUUUGGACAGUCAAGGUGCGUAAUUGUUAAGUGAACACAACCAUGCACCUUAGACAUGGAUUUGCAUAACUACACACAGCUCAACCUAUCUGAAUAAAAUCCUACUCUCAGACCCCUUUUGCAGUACAGCAGGGGUGCUGAUCACCAAGGCCCUUUUUCCUGGCCUGGUAUGCGUGUGAUUAUGUUUGUCCCGGUUCCUGUGUAUUAGACAUGGAAGCCUCCCCUGCCACACUCCACCCCCAAUCUUCCUUUCCCUUCCGGCAGGGAGUGCCCUCUCCAUAAGACGCUUACGUUUGGACAAUCAAGGUGCACAGUUGUAAGUGACCACAGGCAUACACCUUGGACAUUAAUGUGCAUAACCACUUUGCCCAUUCCAUCUGAAUAAGGUCCUACUCUCAGACCCCUUUUGCAGUACAGCAGGGGUGCUGAUCACCAAGGCCCCUUUUCUUGGCCUGUUAUGUGCGUGAUUAUAUUUGUCUGGGUUCCUGUGUAUUAGACAAGGAAGCCUUCCCCCCGCCCCCACCCCCACUCCCAGUCUUCCUUUCCCUUCCAGCAGGGAGUGCCCCCUCCAUAAGAUCAUUACAUUUGGACAAUCAAGGUGCACAAUUAUAAGUGACCACAGCCAUGCACCUUGGACAUUAUUGGACAUUAAUGUGCGUAACUGCACAUGGCCCAUCCCAUCUGAAUAAGGUCCUACUCUCAGAUGCCCUUUGCAGUACAGCAGGGGUACUGAAUCACCAAGGCCCUUUUUCUUGGCCUGUUAUGUGUGUGAUUAUAUUUAUCCCAGUUUCUGUGUAAUAGACAUGAAAGCCUCCCCUGCCACACCCCACCUCCAAUCUUCCUUUCCCUUCCACCAGGGAGUGUCCACUCCAUAUACCCUUACAUUUGGACAAUCAAGGUGCACAAUUGUAAGUGAGCAUAGGCACUCACCUUGGACAUGAAUGUGCAUAACUGCACAUGGCCCAUCCCAUCUGAAUAAGGUCCUACUCUCAGACCCUUUUUGCAGUACAGCAGGGGUGCUGAUCACCAAGGCCCCUUUUCCUGGCCUGUUAUGUGUGUGAUUAUAUUUGUUCCAGUUCCUGUGUAAUAGACAUGGAAGCCUCCCCUGCCACACUCCACCCCCAAUCUUCCUUUCCCUUCUGGCAGGAAGUACCCGCUCCAUAAGACCCUUACAUUUGGACAGUCAAGGUGCACAAUUGUAUGUGACCACAACCAUGCACCUUGGACAUAAAUGUGUGUAACUGCACAUGGCCCAUCCCAUCUGAAUAAGGUCCUACUCUCAGACCCCUUUUGCAGUACAGUAGGUGUGCUGAUAACCAAGGCCCCUCUUCCUGGCCUGUUAACGUAUGUGAUUAUAUUUGUCUGGGUUCCAGUGUAUAAGACAUGGAAGCCUCCCCUGCCCCACCCCACCCUCAAUCUUCCUUUCCCUUCUGGCAGGGAGUGCCAGCUCCAUAAGAACCUUACAUUUGGACAGUCAAGGUGCACAAUUCUAAGUGACCGCAGCCAUGCACCUUGGUCAAUAAUGUGUGUAACUGCACACGGCCUAUCUCAUCUGAAUAAGGCCUUACUCUCAGACCCCUUUUGCAGUACAGCAGGGGUGCUGAUAACCAAGGCCCAUUUUCCUGGCCUGUUAUGUGUGUGAUUAUAUUUGUCCAGGUUUCUGUGUACUAGACAAGGAAGCCUCCUCUGCCCCAUCCCAUCUACGCAUAAUCUUUCUUUUCCUCCCAGCAGGGAGUGCUCACUCCAUAAGACCCUUACAUUUGGACAAUCAAGGUGCACAAUUGUAAGUGACCACAACCAUGCAUCUUGGAAAUUUAUGUGCAUAACUGCACAUGGCUUAUCCUAUUUGAAUAAAGUCCUACUCUCAGACCCCCUUUGCAGUAUAGCUGGGGUGCUGAUCACUGAGGCCUCUUUGCUUGGCUUGUCUAUAUUCUUGUGUACUAGAUAAGGGCACCUUCUCAUGGACUCCCUUUGCUUUUCAACAAGGAGUACCCACUACUUUUUAAGAUUCUUAUAUUUGUCCAAAGUACAUGGUUUUAAUUGACCACAACAAUGUCCCUUGGACAUUAAUGUAUGUAAUCACCACAUGGUUCAUCCUAAUUAAACAAAGUUCUACCUUCUCACCCUCCAUUUGCAGUAUACCAGGGUUGCUGACCCCCUAAGUCCCCUUUUCUUGGCUUGUUGACAUGCAUAAUUGCAUUUAUGUUGGUUCUUGUGCCCUAGACAAGGAUGCCCCACCUCUUUUCAAUAGUGGGUGCCCACUCCUUAUGAUCUUUACAUUUGAACAGUUAAUGUGAAUAAUUGCAGUUGUCCACAACCCUAUCACUUCUAGGACCAUUAUACCUCUUUUGCAUUACUGUGGGGUAUACUGUUUCCCUCCAAGGCCCCUUCUGGUGGACUAUCAACAUAUAAUUGAAAUUUUCUUUUGUCUUUGUCAGUAGAUUAAGGUCAUACCCCAUCACCUUUCCUUUGUAGUACAACAGGGUGUCCUGAUCAACCAAAGUCCUGUUGUUUUGGACUGUUAAUAUGUGCAAUUACAUUUGCUCCUGAUCUGUGCACUAGAUAAGGAUCCUACCUACUUUCUUAGUGUUUUUAGCAGGUAGUGCCCACUACUCAAGACUGUCACUUGGAAUGUUCAUGUGCACAAACUCAAUUCUCUAAGCAUGUUCCUGUACCACCUUUGCUUUAGAGCAGGGGGAUGAUAUUCACUAAGUGCCCCUUCUUUUGGACUUAAUAUGCAUUAAUGCAAUUGUCCACCUCUUCUUUUAGACUAAGAGUUGAUCUCCACAUAUUCCCCUUGCAUCAGGGGCAUGUUAAUUAUGAAUGAACCCUUUUCUUUUAAUAUUAAUGUCAUAAUUGUAUUUGUGGACCUGUGUAGGAGAAAAAGACCCUAUGUUCCUCCCAUUACCCUUUGGAUUGCUGCUGAGAAGUGUUAACUACUCAUAAUCUCAGCUCUUGGACAAUUAAUAGCAUUAAUAACAAUUAUCAAGGGCACUGAUCAUUAGAUAAGACUCCUGCUUCCUCGUUGCUUACAUCGGGGGUACUGACCCACUAAGGCCCCUUGUACUGUUAAUGUGAAUAUUUGCAAUUAUAUAUGUCUCCUUCUGGUAGAGUGGGAUAUUAUGCCCUAGUAUCCCCUUUGCAUUACUGCAGGGGCUGCUGACUACUCAAAACUUCUCCUGGGACUGUUAAUAGGCACAAUGGCAGUUAUCAAUGGUUUUCUCCCUCCCUGACCUUGUUAAGCAAGCGCCCCACCCCACCCUUAGUUUCCCAUGGCAUAAUAAAGUAUAAGCAUUGGAGUAUUCCAUGCACUUGUCUAUCAAACAGUGGUCCAUACUCCCAACCCUUUUGCAUUGCGCCAGUGUGUAAAAUCACAGGUAGCCAUGGUGUCAUGCUUUAUAUACGAAGUCUUCCCUCUCUCUGCCCCUUGUGUGCCCUUGGCCCCUUUUUACAGACUAUUGCUCACAAUCUCAGGUGUCCAUAUUUGCAGCUAUUAGGUAAGAUUGUGCUGUCUCCCUCUUCCCUUCCCUCUGCCCUGCCCCUUUUGCCUCUUUGCUGGGUAAUGUUGACCAGACAAGGCCCUUUCUCUUGGACUUAAACAAUUCUCAGUUGCACUUUCCUUGGUCCCACCCAUUAUACAUGAACCCCUCUACUUCCUUUCGCAUUGCUUCUGAGUAUGCUGACUACCCAAAGCCCCUUCUGUGUUAUUAAUAAACACAGUACUGAUUGUCCCAUUUUUCAGCCCAUCAGUCCAAGAUCUCCCUACCACUUUGGUGUGUUGGUGCAGUGUUGACUAUGAAAAGCAGGCCUGAACUAGGUGGAUAAGCCUUCACUCAUUUUCUUUCAUUUAUUAAUGAUCCUAGUUUCAAUUAUUGUCAGAUUCUGGGGACAAGAACCAUUCUUGCCCACCUGUGUUACUGCUUUACUGUGCAAAAUACUGAAGGCAAGUCAGACCCAGGGAGCUGGAUUGCCAUCCUUUAUUUUGUGUUUCCAGUGUACACUAUAAAAUUGUCUCCCCAGGAAGGAAGGUUGGCACUUUCUCUGCAUUCUUCUUUCCAGAGCAGAUUGCCUGGUUAAGAAUCUCUUGUUGUCCCCUUUGUAUAUUGUUAUUGUAAAGUGCCAAAUGCCAGGAUACAGCCAGAAAAAUUGCUUAUUAUUAUUAAAAAAAUUUUUUUAAGAAAGACAUCUGGAUUGUAGGGUGGACUCGAUAACCUGGUCAUUAUUUUUUUGAAGCCAAAAUAUCCAUUUAUACUAUGUACCUGGUGACCAGUGUCUCUCAUUUUAACUGAGGGUGGUGGGUCUGUGGAUAGAACACUGACUCUUGCUAUUUUAAUAUCAAAGAUAUUCUAGAGUGGAACUCUUAAGACCAGUAUCUUUGUGUGGGCUUUACCAGCAUUCACUUUUAGAAAAACUACCUAAAUUUUAUAAUCCUUUAAUUUCUUCAUCUGGAGCACCUGCCCCUACUUAUUUCAAGAAGAUUGCAGUAAAACGAUUAAAUGAGGGAACAUAUGCAGAGGUGCUUUUAAAAAGCAUAUGCCACCUUUUUUAUUAAUUAUUAUAUAAAAUGAAGCAUUUAAUUAUAGUAAUAAUUUGAAGUAGUUUGAAGUACCACACUGAGGUGAGGACUUAAAAAUGAUAAGACGAGUUCCCUAUUUUAUAAGAAAAAUAAGCCAAAAUUAAAUAUUCUUUUGGAUAUAAAUUUCAACAGUGAGAUAGCUGCCUAGUGGAAAUGAAUAAUAUCCCAGCCACUAGUGUACAGGGUGUUUUGUGGCACAGGAUUAUGUAAUAUGGAACUGCUCAAGCAAAUAACUAGUCAUCACAACAGCAGUUCUUUGUAAUAACUGAAAAAGAAUAUUGUUUCUCGGAGAAGGAUGUCAAAAGAUCGGCCCAGCUCAGGGAGCAGUUUGCCCUACUAGCUCCUCGGACAGCUGUAAAGAAGAGUCUCUGGCUCUUUAGAAUACUGAUCCCAUUGAAGAUACCACGCUGCAUGUGUCCUUAGUAGUCAUGUCUCCUUAGGCUCCUCUUGGUAAUUCUGAGCAUGUGAGACCUGAGGACUGCAAACAGCUAUAAGAGGCUCCAAAUUAAUCAUAUCUUUCCCUUUGAGAAUCUGGCCAAGCUCCAGCUAAUCUACUUGGAUGGGUUGCCAGCUAUCUGGAGAAAAAGAUCUUCCUCAGAAGAAUAGGCUUGUUGUUUUACAGUGUUAGUGAUCCAUUCCCUUUGACGAUCCCUAGGUGGAGAUGGGGCAUGAGGAUCCUCCAGGGGAAAAGCUCACUACCACUGGGCAACAACCCUAGGUCAGGAGGUUCUGUCAAGAUACUUUCCUGGUCCCAGAUAGGAAGAUAAAGUCUCAAAAACAACCACCACACGUCAAGCUCUUCAUUGUUCCUAUCUGCCAAAUCAUUAUACUUCCUACAAGCAGUGCAGAGAGCUGAGUCUUCAGCAGGUCCAAGAAAUUUGAACACACUGAAGGAAGUCAGCCUUCCCACCUGAAGAUCAACAUGCCUGGCACUCUAGCACUUGAGGAUAGCUGAAUGAAUGUGUAUUUCUUUGUCUCUUUCUUUCUUGUCUUUGCUCUUUGUUCUCUAUCUAAAGUGUGUCUUACCCAUUUCCAUGUUUCUCUUGCUAAUUUCUUUCGUGUGUGCCUUUGCCUCAUUUUCUCUUUUUGUUCACAAGAGUGGUCUGUGUCUUGUCUUAGACAUAUCUCUCAUUUUUCAUUUUGUUGCUAUUUCUCUUUGCUCUCCUAGAUGUGGCUCUUCUUUCACGCUUUAUUUCAUGUCUCCUUUUUGGGUCACAUGCUGUGUGCUUUUUGUCCUUUUCUUGUUCUGUCUACCUCUCCUUUCUCUGCCUACCUCUCUUUUCUCUUUGUGAACUGUGAUUAUUUGUUACCCCUUCCCCUUCUCGUUCGUUUUAAAUUUCACCUUUUUUCUGAGUCUGGCCUCCUUUCUGCUGUUUCUACUUUUUAUCUCACAUUUCUCAUUUCUGCAUUUCCUUUCUGCCUCUCUUGGGCUAUUCUCUCUCUCCUCCCCUGCGUGCCUCAGCAUCUCUUGCUGUUUGUGAUUUUCUAUUUCAGUAUUAAUCUCUGUUGGCUUGUAUUUGUUCUCUGCUUCUUCCCUUUCUACUCACCUUUGAGUAUUUCAGCCUCUUCAUGAAUCUAUCUCCCUCUCUUUGAUUUCAUGUAAUCUCUCCUUAAAUAUUUCUUUGCAUAUGUGGGCAAGUGUACGUGUGUGUGUGUCAUGUGUGGCAGAGGGGCUUCCUAACCCCUGCCUGAUAGGUGCAGAACGUCGGCUAUCAGAGCAAGCAUUGUGGAGCGGUUCCUUAUGCCAGGCUGCCAUGUGAGAUGAUCCAAGACCAAAACAAGGCCCUAGACUGCAGUAAAACCCAGAACUCAAGUAGGGCAGAAGGUGGAAGGCUCAUAUGGAUAGAAGGCCCAAAGUAUAAGACAGAUGGUUUGAGACUUGAGACCCGAGGACUAAGAUGGAAAGCCCAUGUUCCAAGAUAGAUAGAAGCCUCAGGCCUGAAACCAACAAAAGCCUCAAGAGCCAAGAAAACAGAGGGUGGCCUGAAUUGGACCGAAGGCCUGAGUUGGAUGGAAGUCUCAAGGCUUGAGUUAGAAGUCUUAAGACCUGGGACAGGACACAUGGAAGGCCUAAGAACUGAGACUUGUGACACAAGGCCAACGACCUAAGAUUAGCCCAGGGUUGUAGCUGGAAGACCUACAACCCAAGGAUGGAAGGCCCCUGUCACAAAGCCUACCUAGAUGGAUAGAGGACCCAAGCGAAAAAGUUUCUGGCAUCACUACCACUACUGAUUAAACAAGAAUAAGAGAACAUUUUAUCAUCAUCUGCUUUAUUCACAUAAAUGAAGUUGUGAUGAAUAAAUCUGCUUUUAUGCAGACACAAGGAAUUAAGUGGCUUCGUCAUUGUCCUUCUACCUCAAAGAUAAUUUAUUCCAAAAGCUAAGAUAAAUGGAAGACUCUUGAACUUGUGAACUGAUGUGAAAUGCAGAAUCUCUUUUGAGUCUUUGCUGUUUGGAAGAUUGAAAAAUAUUGUUCAGCAUGGGUGACCACCAGAAAGUAAUCUUAAGCCAUCUAGAUGUCACAAUUGAAACAAACUGGGGAGUUGGUUGCUAUUGUAAAAUAAAAUAUACUGUUUUGAAAACUUUGUAUUUUGAUGUGACAAUUUCUAACUCACUGUCCCUAA